RNAcentral lists this transfer RNA (73 nucleotides) under Camelus bactrianus (Bactrian camel). It matches the Rfam family "tRNA". Rfam says of the family: Transfer RNA (tRNA) molecules are approximately 80 nucleotides in length. Their secondary structure includes four short double-helical elements and three loops (D, anti-codon, and T loops). The record is from Rfam by way of RNAcentral. Lineage: Eukaryota; Metazoa; Chordata; Mammalia; Artiodactyla; Camelidae. RNAcentral also lists the same sequence under 2 other names.
GUAUGUAUAGCUCAACUGGUAGAGCACAUGCUUAGCAUGGACGAGAUCCUGGGUUCAAUCCCCAGUACCUCCA